CAUGGUUUCAAGGAAGAUGAGAUGGAGAGAUACAACAUACAUGGAGAAAUCUGUGUCUCUAUCAUAAAGGUCUGUGUGUGUAUCAUGAAGAGGGAUUCAGUCGACUUUUGAAGGAACAAAUAUUUCGGCUCGUCCAUCUGAUGGCACAGACUGGAAAAGAGAAAAGCUACCGCACCAUCGUUCUCUUGGUAAUCAAGCCAAGAUCAGUCCACAUGCUGAGGGUUGCAACUCCAACACUACUAACAAGAUUUCACUGUGAUCAGCUGACUACAACAAAAUCUGACUGGAGAAAAUGAUGAAGGAAUAUAAAAUGUUGUUGCACGGACAAGCAAUCUUGGAAUACAAGCACCUCAACGGGAAAACCACUGGUAAUUGAAGCUGGUAGAGCGCUGUGACAUCUCUCGUAAACAAGCUGCCGGUUAUGGACAAGGAUCACGUCAACGUUGCUACACUCCUAAAGCAGUGGCUGUCUUCAGGUCUUUUCUGCCUCGUGGGCAAAUCUGCAUACCAGUGAUUAUAUGCGUACUUAAGUUUUGCUUUGAAGCAAUAUCAGUGCUACACUUGUGAAGCAGUGGCAGUGUUCAGGUCUUGUCUGCCUAACUGACAUAUCUGCAUACCAGUAGUUAUGGGCAGACUUGGCUCUUUCUUUGGAGCAGUACAGUUGUAAGAUAAAUCCUGUUUGUAACUUUAUAAAUGAGUUGCUCAUUAAGGGCUUACGAAGGUUUUGAUGCCUUGCUGGCAUAUCUGCAUACCAGUAAAUAUGUGCAGAUUCAUUUCUUGCUUUGAAGCAAUAUUGUAAAUUGUUGCUACACUCCUAAAGCAGUGGCAAUUGUCAGGUCUUUUCUGCCUCGCGGGCAAAUCUGCAUACCAGUAAUUAUGUGCAGACUUGGCUCUUCCAGAGAUUGUACUUGUAGGACUGGGUCCAUUGAAUGUAACAAAAAUAAUCGAUGCCUAUUUACAAAUGAAAUGAAGAGUCUGCAUUUUGGUGUAACUCCAUAUAACUGUCGGGUGAUUUCGCUCUGAACUUGUGACACUCUGAUCGGUCUGAAAUAAUCAUUAUCCCGCACCUCUGGGAAAAAUUUGCAGCCCCAUUGCCCCGUUCUGUUACUGUCUGAGAGAUGGCGAUGUCAGAGGGGAAUGGCGGUCGGCAAACCUAUUGCGAAUGGGCAGCACAAUUUGGUGUAGGAUAUUCCGAAACCAUUGCACACUCCUGAAUCUGCGGUGGGUUGGUACCCCACGCUACGUAAGGAGUAGGUUGACUGGUAAGCCUUGGUCCACGUGAAUAGGUCGUGCCUUAAAAAGAUGAGAAGUUGCGAAUUGACGCCCUGUGAAGUGUCCUUCGACCAGCUAGUGCUAAUCCGGUCACUGUCUCCAGGUCACCAUGCCUCGGUCAAUGAGCGGGCGAAGCACCCAAUGGCUCCGUCAGGAGUACAUCGUCAACUUCAGCCCGUAGUCAAACCGGUACGCGCACAAAUAUCUUAGUUGAGAGUGGGGGACAUCAGUUGCUUCUCAUCGGGGUAAUACAGUAUUGACCCCAUUUUUUGUUGGAUUCAUUUCCACUGAGGAGUGGUCGAUAAUGAGAAUUUCAAGCCAGUCUGAUUAUCACCAGUACAGAGGGCAAUUAUCUAAUAGUUAUGUGGCUUUCCCUCAAACUGUGUACUCUUUCAUGUCAAUUGUAAAUUAGUGUUGCUUGGUAGUGUUCAGGAUCUUUUUGUCGAACAGGCACAUCUGCAUACCAAGAAUUAUGUGCAAACAUAAUUUUUGCUUUGAAGCAAUGUCGUUGCUACACUCCUAAAGCAGUGGCUGUCUUCAGGUCUUUUCUGCCUCGCGGGCAAAUCUGCAUACCAGUGAUUACAUGCGUACUUAAGUUUUGCUUUGAAGCAAUAUCAGUGCUACACUUGUGAAGCAGUGGCAGUGUUCAGGUCUUGUCUGCCUAACUGACAUAUCUGCAUACCAGUAGUUAUGGGCAGACUUGGCUCUUUCUUUGGAGCAGUACAGUUGUAAGAUAAAUCCUGUUUGUAACUUUAUAAACGAGUUGCUCAUUAAGGGCUUACGAAGGUUUUGAUGCCUUGCUGGCAUAUCUGCAUACCAGUAAAUAUGUGCAGAUUCAUUUCUUGCUUUGAAGCAAUAUUGUUGCUACACUCCUAAAGCAGUGGCAAUUGUCAGGUCUUUUCUGCCUCGCGGGCAAAUCUGCAUACCAGUAAUUAUGUGCAGACUUGGCUCUUCCUGAGAUUGUACUUGUAGGACUGGGUCCAUUGAAUGUAACAAAAAUAAUCGAUGCCUAUUUACAAAUGAAAUGAAGAGUCUGCAUUUUGGUGUAACUCCAUAUAACUGUCAGGUGAUUUCGCUCUGAACUUGUGACACUCUGAUCGGUCUGAAAUAAUCAUUAUCCCGCCCCUCUGGGAAAAAUUUGCAGCCCCAUUGCCCCGUUCUGUUACUGUCUGAGAGAUGGCGAUGUCAGAGGGGAAUGGCGGUCGGCAAACCUAUUGCGAAUGGGCAGCACAAUUUGGUGUAGGAUAUUCCGAAACCAUUGCACACUCCUGAAUCUGCGGUGGGUUGGUACCCCACGCUACGUAAGGAGUAGGUUGACUGGUAAGCCUUGGUCCACGUGAAUAGGUCGUGCCUUAAAAAGAUGAGAAGUUGCGAAUUGACGCCCUGUGAAGUGUCCUUCGACCAGCUAGUGCUAAUCCGGUCACUGUCUCCAGGUCACCAUGCCUCGGUCAAUGAGCGGGCGAAGCACCCAAUGGCUCCGUCAGGAGUACAUCGUCAACUUCAGCCCGUAGUCAAACCGGUACGCGCACAAAUAUCUUAGUUGAGAGUGGGGGACAUCAGUUGCUUCUCAUCGGGGUAAUACAGUAUUGACCCCAUUUUUUGUUGGAUUCAUUUCCACUGAGGAGUGGUCGAUAAUGAGAAUUUCAAGCCAGUCUGAUUAUCACCAGUACAGAGGGCAAUUAUCUAAUAGUUAUGUGGCUUUCCCUCAAAC
Lineus longissimus is the source of this 2983-nucleotide long non-coding RNA. RefSeq lists it as uncharacterized. The record is from RefSeq and is a predicted model, not a curated record. NCBI's taxonomy places the organism in Eukaryota, Metazoa, Nemertea, Pilidiophora, Heteronemertea, Lineidae. The transcript is spliced from 3 exons.